Molecule: antisense RNA, 140 nt
Filed under: Xenorhabdus innexi
Lineage: Bacteria; Pseudomonadati; Pseudomonadota; Gammaproteobacteria; Enterobacterales; Morganellaceae
Description: Bacterial antisense RNA HPnc0260
Rfam family: Bacterial antisense RNA HPnc0260
Source: Rfam by way of RNAcentral
GAAAUGAAAGAUUAAGCGUUUUGAUAACAAAACUACGUAACUAUAAGAAAAUUUAAGGCGUGUUCUAGAUCUAGAUAAGAAAAUUGGAUACAUCAAGUGUAUGGUGCGUCCGAGUGGACUCGAACCACCGACCCCCACCA